Paramuricea clavata is the source of this 608-nucleotide non-coding RNA. The record is from the annotation of a GenBank genome assembly. NCBI's taxonomy places the organism in Eukaryota, Metazoa, Cnidaria, Anthozoa, Malacalcyonacea, Plexauridae.
CUCGUCUCACCCCAGAUAUCCAGUCUCAUUUUUCGUAUGAAAAAGAUUAAUUUAAUUUUCAACUCAAAUGUCAAUUUUCAUUUAAUGAAGGAGGAAAAUCUUCAAUACCCUCGUCCCGUUCGCCUUUAAAGUAAAAGGCUUCUUCAAUUAUAUUCGAAUCGUGCAAGCUAGAACUGAUAACGAGACAAAAAGUCGAUCAAUUGAAGCACAUAAUGGCAGAGUUUUCUUGUCCAUGUUCCUCCGCAUAUGAUAUUAAAAGACUAAAAGUUCAAUUUGGAAUAAGAAUGCUUGUGAAAAGAGAAAGUUGUAAGGCACCCGAGCUGAGGCUAGCGCGGUGUGAGAGAAUUCGAAAUAAAGGCGUCAGAUUCCUCAUUGUCUGAAAUGUAAAAUGAACCAAACGGCACAGUCUCUGCAUGUUAGGGAUUAACUUGCUGGAGAAGCAAUGGGCUGAACACCCUUCCUAGCUUUUGUUAAGGGAAGGGGAGUGGGGAUAAUUUCCGUAUCCAUUCCAUUUUUAGAUUUGGUAAAGCAUUUACAAAAAUAGAAAUAAAAUUAGAGCAAGAUGCGACAGUAACAUGAUUGUGAAAUGCAAGACCACAGAUAGUUCC